AGAGUUUGAUCCUGGCUCAGAAUCAACGCUGGCGGCGUGCCUAACACAUGCAAGUCGAACGCGAAAGGGGGCAACCCUGAGUAGAGUGGCGUCCGGGUGAGUAACACGUGGAUAAUCUACCUUCGGGUGGGGAAUAACUUUCCGAAAGGGAAGCUAAUACCGCAUAAAAUCAUAUUGGGGCAUCCUGAAAUGAUCAAAGUGGGGGAUCGCAAGACCUCACGCCUGAAGAGGAGUCCGCGGCUGAUUAGCUAGUUGGUGAGGUAACGGCUCACCAAGGCUUCGAUCAGUAGCCGGCCUGAGAGGGCGACCGGCCACACUGGCACUGAAACACGGGCCAGACUCCUACGGGAGGCAGCAGUGGGGAAUUUUGGGCAAUGGCCGAAAGGCUGACCCAGCAACGCCGCGUGAGGGAUGAAAUCUUUCGGGAUGUAAACCUCGUAAGUCAGGGAAGAAUAAACGUAGGAUAACACCCUAUGAUAUGACGGUACCUGACGUAAGCCCCGGCUAACUCCGUGCCAGCAGCCGCGGUAAU
This 532-nucleotide ribosomal RNA is filed under the name uncultured soil bacterium. Its description in RNAcentral is "bacterial SSU rRNA". It matches the Rfam family "Bacterial small subunit ribosomal RNA", at positions 8 to 524 of the family's 1533-position model. The record is from RNAcentral.